GACAGCUCAGUUGGCAGAGCAGGAGACGCUUAAUCUCAGGGUUGUGGGUUCAAGUCCCACGUUGGGCG
Molecule: non-coding RNA, 68 nt
Organism: Podarcis lilfordi (Lilford's wall lizard)
Lineage: Eukaryota; Metazoa; Chordata; Lepidosauria; Squamata; Lacertidae
Source: the annotation of a GenBank genome assembly